UGAGGCAUAACAGAAAACCAUUAGCUCCAGGUUCUUUUACAAAAUAAAAAAAUUCCCUUUCCUCCAAAAAAAUACUCAAAAGCCCCAAAGCACAGUAGAAGCUUGAGAGACAGAGAUACACAUACUAGGAAGCAUCAGAACAUUGAAAACCAACUGUUAUAACAUUCUAAUGGGAAAAAUCCAAAUCACUUGAAAGGAAGGGAUGAAUAUGCAGGUGGAUUAUCCAGGCUUACAUGGAUACAAGCAUCAGAGCAGCAUAGAACUGAGAAAAUCUUGAAGUCUUCUUUGCUAUUCAGCACCAUUUCAUGACAGACUCUCAUUUCAAAUGGUGUGUUAAGGACAACUGAUCUAGCACGUAGGGGUAACCUAAAUAGUAAGUCAUCUAAAAAUAUUAUUUCCACUUUUAUUGGUGAUUAUAAAAGAUCAGAAUAUGCACUAUCUCUCAGUCAGCAACACACUAGUUCAUUAGAAUUCAGCAUGAAAAAUAACAUCUGUAUUCUCUGAAAGAAAAAUGAAAAUUAUACAAGGAAAUCAUUAAGAAACAAAUAAACUUCUGAGAAAUUUCUCAUUGGUCUUUGGAAGUAUUUAUGUGAGAGAAAAUGACAGGCAUCCAUUUAUACCACUUUCAUGAUACUUUGGGUUUUAUGGAUUCUGUAGUAUGUAACAGCCCCAUUUCAGAAUCUUUCUCUAACAGAUACUUAUUACAAAAGGAAUGAUGUUCUUUUUUCACUGAAGGUAUCAAAUGACUGCUGAGUGCAAUAUAGACAGGAUUUCAGAAUAGAUGAUUGGACGUUCUCACAGGAAGGAAAAGGUUUUUUUCAGGAAUAAAAAUAUUUUUAUAAUGUGGACAAAUCUUUUCCUUUGUUUCUAGGAUAACAUCAAAACCCCAUCCCUCAGGACUGAUAUUUUUCUUACUAAAAGCAUAAUUCCUUCUGAUCCAAUUGUGAGUUCCAACUGUAUUAAGACUGAAGGCUGGAAGUCUGCCACAUCCAUCUAGAAUUUUAAUUAGAUAAAAAUAUGUGCUUAGACUUAAGCACAGACUUAAACUCUUGUUUGAGUGGGAUCUAUGUCAGUAUCUUGGCAGGACCUCAGUAAAUACAGUCCAAAGCAAU
Molecule: long non-coding RNA, 1112 nt
Organism: Chiroxiphia lanceolata (lance-tailed manakin)
Lineage: Eukaryota; Metazoa; Chordata; Aves; Passeriformes; Pipridae
Exons: 3
Source: RefSeq, a predicted model, not a curated record